Long non-coding RNA from Symphalangus syndactylus (siamang), 556 nucleotides. RefSeq lists it as uncharacterized. The record is from RefSeq and is a predicted model, not a curated record. NCBI's taxonomy places the organism in Eukaryota, Metazoa, Chordata, Mammalia, Primates, Hylobatidae.
CUCUUCUACUGUGUAUUAUGGAUACAGUUCAUCAACUCAUGAAAACAGCCCCCGAGAGAGCUUCGUGUAAAGACACGCCCAGGCCCCCAACCCAAUUCUAACAGAACCAGACUCGCAGAGCAAGAGGCCUUGAAACACAGAAUGAUCCUCUGACAAGUGAUGAAGAAGAAUGGGAAGAUGUGAAAAUCCAAGCAAGAAGAACUUAGGGGAAACAACUCAACAUCUAAGAAGAAAUGAAUAGGGAUCAGUUCCAAGAAGAGAUAAAGGGGAAAUACCCAAGAACUGGGAUGCAUCAUCUUUGGUUUCUUCUGGAUCCUCCCUAAAUUUGGGCUAAGAAAUCUGAGUCUCCAUUUGAGAGUGUCCCCAGAAAUGAUGACAUCCACAUCCAGGAACCUCCUCCUUCCUUCACUUGAACUCUCUUGCUUCUGGGGAGCCAGGACCUAGGAAGUAAAAAUCAAGUUCAUUUGGCGACACAUUCCCUCCGGGCCCAGAUGCUGUCUCUGCUGCUGUAAAGUCCCCUGAAGUCAAGGCCAAGCAAUACAUCUAAGCAUCCCUU